This 543-nucleotide ribosomal RNA is filed under the name Massinium magnum. RNAcentral's name for it is "partial 16S ribosomal RNA". It matches the Rfam family "Bacterial large subunit ribosomal RNA", at positions 1809 to 2607 of the family's 2925-position model. The record is from RNAcentral. Lineage: Eukaryota; Metazoa; Echinodermata; Holothuroidea; Dendrochirotida; Phyllophoridae.
AAAAACAUAGCUUCCCGAAAAAAUAGGAAGUAAAGCCUGCCCAGUGGAAACCUCUAAACGGCCGCGGUAUCCUGACCGUGCAAAGGUAGCAUAAUCAUUUGUCUUUUAAAUGAAGACCUGUAUGAAUGGCACCACAUUUUCUAACUGUCUCCUUUCUUAACCUUCUAAACUCCUAUUAACGUGAAGAAGCGUUAAUAAAAAAGAAAGACGAGAAGACCCUGUCGAGCUUCAAUUUUAAUGUUAAUACUCCCUCUUUUCCAUCUAGAAAAAUAAACAUUUCUAUUAAAAUUUUGGUUGGGGCAACCAUAGAGUAUAACUAUCCUCUAGUUAAAAAAAAGAUCUUUAAUCAAUAUAUUCUUCUUAAAAUAAAGAACCAAAAUCAUUGGUAAACAGAAAAAGUUACCGCAGGGAUAACAGCGUCAUCUUCUUUGAGAGUUCUUAUUGACAAGAAGGAUUGCGACCUCGAUGUUGGAUUAAGGAAACAAAAGGGUGCAGCAGCUCUUUAAGUUGGACUGUUCGUCCAUUAAUCCCUUACGUGAUCUG